GGGUGACACAGACAUCCCCCAAUCUAAAGAGGACCUCUGGCUCAGGAAGUACUUCUGAGAUCUGUUUGAAAGUGUCUGCAGGUGACAGCAAUACAGUAUCAGGAAGAGUCUGUGCUUGCUUGUGCUAGUUGACCAAUAAACUUACCAUGACAUCCCAUAAGACCACAGAGAUACAACACCAGGUCUUAAAGAAAGAAAGAAAAACUGGGGGGGGAGAAUAAGGCGAAAAGAUAGAGGCUACUGAAGCAAGUUUCACCAUCCUGGCUGCCAACCCCAGCAUCACCUGGAAUCCUAGACCUUCUUUGUUCUAAUCCUCAGAAAUGUCCUGACCAGACUGGGCCAAAGAGCGGGACCCAAAUAACAUCACCACCUCUACUCACUCCAGCUGAAUCCCAAACACCAUCGGGGAUGAAAUAGGAUCAGACUUUGGCAGCAGCAACAAUAAUAACAGCUCUGGCCCAUCUCAAGAAACUUCUUCUCUUUUCCCCAAAAGAACAGUUUCAGGCUUUAACAACAACAGCAAUAACAACAUCUCCAGCUUAUCUCAACGAACGUCUCUUUUUUUACGUGAAAGGAACAUUACCAUCUUUAAUACCAUCUGAGAGACUGUCAAACAAGGAGGUUUUCCUUUUAAAAGCUCUCUCCAGCUACAGGGAGAGGGAACA
Long non-coding RNA from Chelonia mydas (Green sea turtle), 665 nucleotides. RefSeq lists it as uncharacterized. The transcript is spliced from 3 exons. The record is from RefSeq and is a predicted model, not a curated record. NCBI's taxonomy places the organism in Eukaryota, Metazoa, Chordata, Testudines, Cheloniidae.